AAGUCGUAACAAGGUUUCCGUAGGUACAAAUAGGUUUGCCUGCCGAAACCUCCCGCAACGACGUUAAAAAACUGCGCGGUCUGCGCCCUAUUGGCGUGGGCAACACCGUUUAAGUGCUGAGAAUGCCCGGCGAGAGCCCCGCACAACCAGCAGCCAGCAGUUACUGCCUGGUCCACAGAUCAAUCGACGGUGACCGUUAUCGGUUAAGUUAUGACCGGUCCAGAGCCCCAACGGGCCCUGGAGCCAUGGAACCUGCGGAAGGAUCAUUACCGAGAGACGGGGUCUAACCGGCCUCAACUCUUCAUCCGUGUCUACGUACCAAUGUUGCUUUGGCGAGCCUCGGGCUUGUUCCGGGGAGUUCACGCUCCUUCGCCCGCCAAAGGCCCAUAUAAAACCUGUUAUCAGUGUCGUCCGAGUAAACAUAUAAUAAUUAAAACUUUCAACAACGGAUCUCUUGGUUCUG
Molecule: unclassified non-coding RNA, 463 nt
Filed under: air metagenome
Description: partial contains small subunit ribosomal RNA, internal transcribed spacer 1, and 5.8S ribosomal RNA
Source: RNAcentral